GAAGUGCGAUAAGUGUCAUGACUUGCAGAUUCUCGAGAACUGACAAGUUUCUGAAUGCAAAUUGCGGUAGGAACUUAAUCAUCCUACCAUGUAUUGCAGAGUGUAGUAAUGAUGAUUCGUCAUCCAUCGAUCUCUAUGUGUCUCUGUCUCUCUCCUUACCGAGUGUGACGGAUUGUAUAGAGAUGUAGAUGGGAUCUGCGCUUAUGAGACCUCCAUGAGCGUCAAAUGGCUGUAUAUUGACCUUGAUAUAUACACAUCAAAGCCCUCGAUCUAUCGUGCGUGCCUCUGUUUGUAUAUAUACCACAUCAUUCUUCUACAGGAGAGAUGGAUGGAGUGUGUCUGGGUGCUCUCGCCCUCUCUCAUUCCAUCUCUCUCUCUCUUUCUCUUUAACCACCUCUGC
RNAcentral lists this unclassified non-coding RNA (400 nucleotides) under uncultured fungus. RNAcentral's name for it is "sequence contains ITS1". The stretch from base 1 to 106 matches the Rfam family "5.8S ribosomal RNA", at positions 50 to 154 of the family's 154-position model. Lineage: Eukaryota; Fungi. The record is from RNAcentral.